AUCGCUUCUCGGCCUUUUAGCUAAGAUCAAGUGUAGUGUCUGUUCUUAUCAGAAAUGCCAAGUGUAAUGGAAUUAGAGCUAUUUCCCCAACAUCCCCAUACAUACCUUAAAGUUUGAAAAAUGUUUAAAACAUAAGGAAAACUCU
Molecule: small nuclear RNA, 145 nt
Filed under: Suricata suricatta (meerkat)
Lineage: Eukaryota; Metazoa; Chordata; Mammalia; Carnivora; Herpestidae
Description: U2 spliceosomal RNA (ENSSSUG00005011453.1)
Rfam family: U2 spliceosomal RNA
About the family: U2 is a small nuclear RNA (snRNA) component of the spliceosome (involved in pre-mRNA splicing). Complementary binding between U2 snRNA (in an area lying towards the 5' end but 3' to hairpin I) and the branchpoint sequence (BPS) of the intron results the bulging out of an unpaired adenosine, on the BPS, which initiates a nucleophilic attack at the intronic 5' splice site, thus starting the first of two transesterification reactions that mediate splicing.
Source: Rfam by way of RNAcentral